RNAcentral lists this long non-coding RNA (277 nucleotides) under Durio zibethinus. RNAcentral's name for it is "long non-coding RNA (DZIB_LNC000112)". Lineage: Eukaryota; Viridiplantae; Streptophyta; Magnoliopsida; Malvales; Malvaceae. The record is from RNAcentral.
UUUGGAGUUGUUGAGUUUUUCUCAUUUUGGUUCCUGAACAAUAAUCUAAGUUCAAGAUCAAGUCUUUGAAACUGGGUAUCAUUUGUUUCAUUUGUUUGUUUAAGGAAUCUCCCAGUUUGGCAGUUAUAUUUCUUGGUGGUUGUGUAAUGGAUUUAUUCUGUUUUUGGUUUUUGUGCAGCAACGUAAAGUUUUUCUUUCUGGGAGUUUUGACCUUUAGAGGAAGAGAAUAUGGGGGACAAAAAUGAAGUCUUGGAGGCUGUGUUGAAGGAAACUGUGG